UACCAGCACCCCGAGUGGUCGGGACGAUUAUUGGGCCUAAAGCAUCCGUAGCCGGUUCUGCAAGUCCCCCGUUAAAUCCAGCUGCUCAACAGAUGGGCCGCGGAGGAUACUACAGAGCUAGGAGGCAGGAGAGGCAAGCGGUACUCAGUGGGUAGGGGUAAAAUCCGUUGAUCCAUUGAAGACCACCAGUGGCGAAGGCGGCUUGCCAGAAUGCGCUCGACGGUGAGGGAUGAAAGCUGGGGGAGCAAAC
RNAcentral lists this ribosomal RNA (250 nucleotides) under uncultured archaeon. RNAcentral's name for it is "partial 16S ribosomal RNA". It matches the Rfam family "Archaeal small subunit ribosomal RNA", at positions 474 to 724 of the family's 1478-position model. The record is from RNAcentral.